RNAcentral lists this ribosomal RNA (858 nucleotides) under Distoseptispora aquatica. Its description in RNAcentral is "SSU rRNA". It matches the Rfam family "Eukaryotic small subunit ribosomal RNA", at positions 103 to 970 of the family's 1831-position model. Lineage: Eukaryota; Fungi; Ascomycota; Sordariomycetes; Distoseptisporaceae. The record is from RNAcentral.
AAAUCAGUUAUCGUUUAUUUGAUAGUACCUUACUACUUGGAUAACCGUGGUAAUUCUAGAGCUAAUACAUGCUAAAAACCCCGACUCACGGAGGGGUGUAUUUAUUAGAUUAAAAGCCAAUGCCCUUCGGGGCUCACUGGUGAUUCAUAAUAACUUGUCGAAUCGCAUGGCCUUGCGCCGGCGAUGGUUCAUUCAAAUUUCUGCCCUAUCAACUUUCGACGGCUGGGUCUUGGCCAGCCAUGGUGACAACGGGUAACGGAGGGUUAGGGCUCGACCCCGGAGAACGAGCCUGAGAAACGGCUAUUACAUCCAAGGAAGGCAGCAGGCGCGCAAAUUACCCAAUACCGAUUCGGUGAGGUAGUGACGAUAAAUACUGAUACAGGGCUCUUUUGGGUCUUGUAAUUGGAAUGAGUACAAUUUAAAUCCCUUAACGAGGAACAAUUGGAGGGCAAGUCUGGUGCCAGCAGCCGCGGUAAUUCCAGCUCCAAUAGCGUAUAUUAAAGUUGUUGCAGUUAAAAAGCUCGUAGUUGAACCUUGGGCCUGGCUGGCCGGUCCGCCUCACCGCGUGCACUGGUCCGGCCGGGUCUUUCCCUCUGGGGAACCGCAUGCCAUUCACUUGGCGUGUCGGGGAACCAGGACUUUUACUUUGAAAAAAUUAGAGUGUUCAAAGCAGGCCUAUGCUCGAAUACAUUAGCAUGGAAUAAUAGAAUAGGACGUGUGGUUCUAUUUUGUUGGUUUCUAGGACCGCCGUAAUGAUUAAUAGGGACAGUCGGGGGCAUCAGUAUUCAAUUGUCAGAGGUGAAAUUCUUGGAUUUAUUGAAGACUAACUACUGCGAAAGCAUUUGCCAAGGAUGUUUU